Molecule: unclassified non-coding RNA, 590 nt
Filed under: leaf metagenome
Description: partial contains small subunit ribosomal RNA, internal transcribed spacer 1, 5.8S ribosomal RNA, internal transcribed spacer 2, and large subunit ribosomal RNA
Rfam family: 5.8S ribosomal RNA (bases 228-381)
Source: RNAcentral
AGUCGUAACAAGGUCUCCGUUGGUGAACCAGCGGAGGGAUCAUUACUGAGUUACCGCUCUAUAACCCUUUGUGAACGUACCUAACCGUUGCUUCGGCGGGCAGGGGAAGCCUCUCGCGGGCCUCCCCUCCCGGCGCCGGCCCCCACCACGGGGACGGGGCGCCCGCCGGAGGAAACCAAACUCUAUUUACACGACGUCUCUUCUGAGUGGCACAAGCAAAUAAUUAAAACUUUUAACAACGGAUCUCUUGGUUCUGGCAUCGAUGAAGAACGCAGCGAAAUGCGAUAAGUAAUGUGAAUUGCAGAAUUCAGUGAAUCAUCGAAUCUUUGAACGCACAUUGCGCUCGCCAGCAUUCUGGCGAGCAUGCCUGUUCGAGCGUCAUUUCAACCCUCAAGCACCGCUUGGUUUUGGGGCCCCACGGCCGACGUGGGCCCUUAAAGGUAGUGGCGGACCCUCCCGGAGCCUCCUUUGCGUAGUAACUAACGUCUCGCACUGGGAUCCGGAGGGACUCUUGCCGUUAAACCCCCAAAUUCUUUACAGGUUGACCUCGGAUCAGGUAGGAAUACCCGCUGAACUUAAGCAUAUCAAUA